CCCUCGAUAAGUCAUUUGACAGAGCGGAGGACUGUAGAUGUUACAACGGUGAUCCUUAGGUCGCUGGUUCAAAUCCGGCUCGAGGGA
This 87-nucleotide transfer RNA is filed under the name Cordylochernes scorpioides. RNAcentral describes it as "tRNA-Tyr". It matches the Rfam family "tRNA". From Rfam's summary of the family: Transfer RNA (tRNA) molecules are approximately 80 nucleotides in length. The record is from RNAcentral. Lineage: Eukaryota; Metazoa; Arthropoda; Arachnida; Pseudoscorpiones; Chernetidae.